Molecule: ribosomal RNA, 425 nt
Filed under: uncultured bacterium
Lineage: Bacteria
Description: partial 16S ribosomal RNA
Rfam family: Bacterial small subunit ribosomal RNA
Source: RNAcentral
GUGGGGAAUCUUGCGCAAUGGGCGAAAGCCUGACGCAGCCAUGCCGCGUGAAUGAUGAAGGUCUUAGGAUUGUAAAAUUCUUUCACCGGGGACGAUAAUGACGGUACCCGGAGAAGAAGCUCCGGCUAACUUCGUGCCAGCAGCCGCGGUAAUACGAAGGGGGCUAGCGUUGCUCGGAAUUACUGGGCGUAAAGGGCGCGUAGGCGGACAGCUUAGUCAGAGGUUAAAGCCCAGGGCUCAACCUUGGAAUUGCCUUUGAUACUGGCUGUCUUGAGUUUGGGAGAGGUGAGUGGAACUCCGAGUGUAGAGGUGAAAUUCGUAGAUAUUCGGAAGAACACCAGUGGCGAAGGCGACUCACUGGCCCAAUACUGACGCUGAGGCGCGAAAGCGUGGGGAGCAAACAGGAUUAGAAACCCCUGUAGUCC